Ochotona princeps (American pika) is the source of this 419-nucleotide non-coding RNA. The record is from the annotation of a RefSeq genome assembly. NCBI's taxonomy places the organism in Eukaryota, Metazoa, Chordata, Mammalia, Lagomorpha, Ochotonidae.
GGGAGAGGAAGAUGGAGUGUGUUGUCCCACUGUUCUUCAGAGGAGCUGGUGUGAGGCCAUCAUUGAACAUGCUGAUACUUCUGCUCUUUCUGAGGCCUGAUUCUGGACUUGAUGCACUGGUCUUGCAAACUCCCAGCAGGGCUAUCCUUAAGAGUGGAACCUCUGUGAAGAUCGAGUGUCGCUGUGUGGACCUGCAGGCCACAACCAUGUUUUGGUAUCAUCAACUCCCAAAACAGAGCUUCACACUCAUGGCAACUUCCAAUGCGGCCUCCAAGGCUGCCUAUGAACAGGGUUUUACUGAAGCCAAGUUUCCCAUCAGUCACCCAAACCUGACCUACUCAUCUCUGGAAGUGACAAACGCUCAUGCUGAAGACAGCAGCUUCUACUUCUGUGGUGCUAGUGACACGGCGCUGGGCUGA